UACGUAGGGGGCGAGCGUUGUUCGGAUUCAUUGGGCGUAAAGGGUGCGUAGGCGGCGCGGUAAGUCGGGUGUGAAAUCUCGGGGCUUAACUCCGAAACUGCAUUCGAUACUACCGUGCUUGAGGACUGGAGAGGAGACUGGAAUUUACGGUGUAGCGGUGAAAUGCGCAGAUAUCGGGAGGAACACCAAUGGCGAAGGCAGCUCGCUGGGACGGUACUGACGCUGAGACGCGAAAGCGUGGGGAGCAAACAGG
Molecule: ribosomal RNA, 253 nt
Filed under: uncultured bacterium
Lineage: Bacteria
Description: partial 16S ribosomal RNA
Rfam family: Bacterial small subunit ribosomal RNA
Source: RNAcentral